ACGCACUUCGACCUGGCCUAGGCCAGGAAAUCUGGGCCACCUGUUCUGAUGGACCCAGAUUUCCUGGCCUUGCCCAGGUCGAAGUGCGU
RNAcentral lists this microRNA precursor (89 nucleotides) under Paramuricea clavata. It matches the Rfam family "MIR1846 microRNA precursor family", at positions 1 to 86 of the family's 110-position model. The record is from RNAcentral. Lineage: Eukaryota; Metazoa; Cnidaria; Anthozoa; Malacalcyonacea; Plexauridae.